Non-coding RNA from Phrynosoma platyrhinos (Desert horned lizard), 72 nucleotides. NCBI's taxonomy places the organism in Eukaryota, Metazoa, Chordata, Lepidosauria, Squamata, Phrynosomatidae. The record is from the annotation of a GenBank genome assembly.
GCUAGGAUGGUGUAGUGGUUUGAACACUGGACUAUGACUCUGAAGACCAGGGUUCAAAUCCCAGCUCAACCC